AAGCUAGUUUUGUUGGCAUGUGGAAAGCAAAAGUAGCGAAGGUAAAGAGAUUAAAAUUGGAUUUAGUGCGUAUUUUUGAAAAAAUUUUACCACAAAAUAUGGUAGUCCCCCCCCCGUCGAUGACACUUGUGACGUCAGGUACAUACGGGACUUUGGAGGCGGGUUUUGGCGGGAAAAUCUGUAAUGUUUGGAGAAGACAAGAUGGCGCUGGUUACCUCGUGUUAUAUCAAACGGCAUGUUUGUUCAAAAAUACCCGCUUAUUUUACGUUAUAGCGACUGGUUCGUUUUGGAAAUUAUAACUCAAUGGACGGGGAAAAUGGUUCUGUAUUAAAGAGAAAAUGAUGUGCAGUUAUUGUGAUGUUAUUUGUUGUGAAAGACGGCCCGAAAUUUCGCUACUUCGCAGUACUGGUUUAUAAAACAUUUACAAGCAACAGCAAUUGAACUAUAUGACAAAGAAACCAAUGUAUACAAGCCAAUCAAGUUCUUCAGUUUAAAGGUCUGUUUACUUUUUAAUAAUUAGUUCAUUUAGUUGUACAUUAAUACGAAGUACUGGAACAGUAGUGACAGUACGCCUAGUCACAGAACAGGAAGGUAUACCCAUUGAACUAAAAAUAACUGGAACGAUACCUCCAGCCGGAAAUGUGAAGCCAUGCCAUAGAAAUAAUAGACAUAAUAACUAUAAAACUGGUAAACUAAAAAACAAUUCAAACAAUCACAAAAAAUGGCAAAGUCACAGUUGCAAGUCAAUUACCUACCUGUGAAAUGAAAUUUUCCUCGCAAGAAUAUCUCUUUCCUUGUGCAUCCAGAACGACACAAUAUAUUUGAAAAAGCCUAUUCUUUUCUCCACACAGGGAAGUUUUCCUCGACUUUUUUCUGACAGCGAACUCAAUGCAAUAAAUUUUAGGAGCAAAACAGUUUUCUCCUAAAAUGUAUUGCAUUGAAUUGGCCAUGUUUUUAAUUUUUUUUUUCGUGAUUGCGUUCAAAUUUAUACUGGCCGUGCAACAGUUUGCAAGAGGGGGAAUGAAAUGACGUCCAAUCCGCGUAAACCUGACGACUGACGUCCAAUCCGCGUGAAAGACUGGUAUCGAGGCUUCAUUGUUUUCACAAUCAAAUGACUGAAUGUUAUCAUUCCAGAUAUAUAUAUAUAUAUAUAUAUAUAUAUAUAUAUAUAUAUAUAUAUAUAUCCCACAGGAGAAUUUAAUAGCCAAUUUUCUGGAAAAUUUAGCCCAAUUUUCUGGAAAAUUUCCUGGUUGUUUUCCCUGCAGCUUGUUUAUAAACAUGCUUGUUUAUCUAUAGCAUCAUUUGUAGAAAAGGUGUUGAAAGCAUUUUUUGAAAGCAAUGACGUAUUAUCAAAUGACAAAUGAUCAUGCGAGCGACACUUGCUAGGAAGAUGGCGACUGUGGGACAACUAUAUAAUAGUUUUGUUUGUGGAAACACCACAUAAAUUUAUUACUGCAAAGCUUUCGAUCCGUAAGCCCGGAUCUUCAUCAGUGCUAAUAUGUGACUUGUUUAAUUCACACGCCCUUUUUAUAUACAAAAAAUGUCUUGAUCUGUUGGCUCACAUAUUAUUAGCACUGAUGAAGAUCCGGGCUUACAGAUCGAAAGCUUGGCAGUAAUAAAUUUACGUGGUGUUUCCACAAACAAAACUAUUAUAUGUUUUAUCGCCAUGCAAACAUACAAAGAACUUAUUGUGGGACAACUUUUUUACUGAAGUUAUACAUCUGUCUUCACUUAAUCUGUGGCUCAGCUGGCUAGACCUUGAUUCUUGCCUGUGGUCCCCCUUUGCAUUUGACCCAAAUGUUUUGGUCAUUUUAUAUUUGCCAAUAUAAAUCUUUUUGGCAUAGAAAUUAUACAUUUGGAAUAAUAAUUUUGUAUGCUGCAUUCAAUCUAUUCUCCAUUCAGGGAGAUUCUUUUGUAAAUACCCACACCAAUCAGAAGUCUGUAUUUUUAUGCUAAGACAGAAAUUGGCAUCCCAGAGAGUAAAUUAUAUUCAAGUUUAGGGCAUGUUGCAGCUCUAUAUCUUGCCGUUGCAAGUUGCUUUGCGUUUGAUGUUUGUUCUGGGAUAAAAUAUUGAAUUAUACCUUAAAUUAAUGUUUUGUGAAAUUUAGUUUAAAACUCUUUGACGGCAAGUCGGUUUCGCAAUACAUUACGACUUAAUUUUGCUAUUGUAAAUAUCUCGGCGAGUAUUUACCCCCCUUUUAAAUAAAACCCACCAUUGAAAUCCUCACAAAAUAACCUUUCGAACGGGGGGUCAAGUGCCGUCAAAACAUUACACAAACCGAAACAAUCAUAUAUUUACUCACCGCUUGGCCAAAGAUUCUGAAUUUCAUAUCCAGAUAAUCUUGAAUAUCUCUUGAACUUUUCGUCAUUGUCUGAACGGCUAUAUGUGUAAAAUACUCUUUGUAUUCAAGCGCUUUCGUGUACAAAAUUUCGUUUGAAUACGGCGAGUAGAAAUAUUUAUUUUGAAUUUUUCAAUGAUGCGGGUUUUACUCGCACUUGCGUACAUUGCGCAAUAAUUGGCCAAUAAGAAGCUCCUGUGGCCGGGAUGACGUCAAACUCACGCGUGUAGGUGCAAUCUGACCUUGCGAAUCCAUUUCUGGCCUUUGCAGGGUCAUACGAUACAAGCUUCGAAUUGUUUUGACGGUUUUCUGUCGUACUUCCGGUUGGGAUUAACUCUCUUCGAGCUCACAGUCGGACAAGAAAUGGAAAUAUAUUGAUAAAAUAUACAGAUUUGAAGAUACAGGCUUGCAAAUAACACUCUAAAUAGUGUUUUUAAUGGGGAUUCGAACAAGACUAUUACAAAGACGAUAUGUUCGAAGGGGCCGAAGUUAUUUUUGGCGAAAGGUAUGGCUAAGUUUAUAUUUUUGUUCAGACAAUUGCGUAAUUUGAUACAAUAUGAUCGUGUUUGACUUCAAAGGCCCAUAAAUCGCUACAAUAUUGAUAAUGACUAUAGCUAUAGUGACGAAUUAGUUGAAUCUUUUAUUUCUGAAUCGAAUGGUGGUAUUUCUGUCUUCAUAACAUGCACCGAACCGAAGAUAUGAACAUCCAAUCAUUCAUCCGCUAGCGGAUGAAUGAUUUGGGAUUUGCCGUCAAAGAGUUAAAUAAUUUAGUAGAGAGAUGAGUGCAUAAAGCAUAGGGAUUUUGAAGCUAAAUAUGUUAUAAAAUUUGUCAUUUUAGUGAAUGCAUUCUUUUCUGCUCGUCCUGGUUGUUGCAAGGAGACAUCAGGCAUUGUAAUGGAUGGAUGACGAUGUGUCGCCGGCAAACCUACACCGUGUGCAUUUUCUUGGUGGAUAUCUUGGGCAAAUGUGCAAUAUGACGAGGGAUAUCUUGGGCAAAUAUCUUAUAUAAAUUGGUACGAUUGCUUACCUUAAAUUACUAAAGAAGGAUGAUGUUGUAAGG
RNAcentral lists this long non-coding RNA (3399 nucleotides) under Paramuricea clavata. Lineage: Eukaryota; Metazoa; Cnidaria; Anthozoa; Malacalcyonacea; Plexauridae. The record is from RNAcentral.